Gossypium hirsutum (cotton) is the source of this 107-nucleotide non-coding RNA. NCBI's taxonomy places the organism in Eukaryota, Viridiplantae, Streptophyta, Magnoliopsida, Malvales, Malvaceae. The record is from Rfam.
AAACCAUGCAUCUGGCACUUCUGAAUUAGGUCUUUAAAUUGUUCCCAAGCUUCAUAUAGCAUUUCAUCAUCUGAUUUCCAAAAAGAUGUGAUGUCAUUUCUAAGAUU